Long non-coding RNA from Tachysurus vachellii, 395 nucleotides. RefSeq lists it as uncharacterized. The transcript is spliced from 3 exons. Lineage: Eukaryota; Metazoa; Chordata; Actinopteri; Siluriformes; Bagridae. The record is from RefSeq and is a predicted model, not a curated record.
ACACACACACACACACACACACCUACAAACACACACCACGAACAGGACACAUGCUGUUUAGGACCGGAUCAGACAUGCAGACAUGGACACACACUGUCCACACACUCGAUCAGCAGGUGCUCAGGUGUACAGACACAAACUGCAGCUGCGAGUGUUUCCUGCCUGAACCAUUCGAUCUGAGGUCAUGUGAACGCUGCAAACACGGCUGGGUGAUGCACGCUCUCAGUAAGCUGAGUGUGUGUUCAGAUCAGGUGGAGGUUGUUCACUCAGGUGUUGUGUGUGACCUCAGUGCUCUGAUCCUGUUCAGUACACACGCCUUUCCCAUCAGGAUGAAGAUUCUCCUGGACAGACUCUUUAGUGUCCUCACACACCAACACGUCCUCAACAUCCUGCAC